UUAAGCAUAUCAAUAAGCGGAGGAAAAAGAACCCAAACAGGGAUUGCCCCAGUAACGGCGAGUGAAGCGGCAACAGCUCAAAUUUGAAAUCUGGCCCCCAGGGCCCGAGUUGUAAUUUGCAGAGGAUGCUUUUGGCGCGGUGCCUUCCGAGUUCCCUGGAACGGGACGCCAUAGAGGGUGAGAGCCCCGUCUGGUCGGACGCCUAGCCUGUGUAAAGCUCCUUCGACGAGUCGAGUAGUUUGGGAAUGCUGCUCUAAAUGGGAGGUAUAUGUCUUCUAAAGCUAAAUACCGGCCAGAGACCGAUAGCGCACAAGUAGAGUGAUCGAAAGAUGAAAAGCACUUUGAAAAGAGGGUUAAAUAGUACGUGAAAUUGUUGAAAGGGAAGCGCUUGUGACCAGACUUGGGCCCGGUGGAUCAUCCAGCGUUCUCGCUGGUGCACUCCGCCGGGUUCAGGCCAGCAUCAGUUCGCCGCGGGGGAAAAAGGCUUCGGGAACGUGGCUCCUACGGGAGUGUUAUAGCCCGUUGCAUAAUACCCUGGGGCGGACUGAGGUUCGCGCUCCGCAAGGAUGCUGGCGUAAUGGUCAUCAGCGACCCGUCUUGAAACACGGACCAAGGAGUCGUCUUCGUAUGCGAGUGUUCGGGUGUAAAACCCCUACGCGUAAUGAAAGUGAACGCAGGUGAGAGCUUCGGCGCAUCAUCGACCGAUCCUGAUGUUCUCGGAUGGAUUUGAGUAAGAGCAUACGGGGCCGGACCCGAAAGAAGGUGAACUAUGCCUGUAUAGGGUGAAGCCAGAGGAAACUCUGGUGGAGGCUCGCAGCGGUUCUGACGUGCAAAUCGAUCGUCAAAUAUGGGCAUGGGGGCGAAAGACUAAUCGAACCUUCUAGUAGCUGGUUUCCGCCGAAGU
Molecule: ribosomal RNA, 904 nt
Filed under: Purpureocillium lilacinum
Lineage: Eukaryota; Fungi; Ascomycota; Sordariomycetes; Hypocreales; Ophiocordycipitaceae
Description: LSU rRNA
Rfam family: Eukaryotic large subunit ribosomal RNA
Source: RNAcentral